CCAAUAGCGUAUAUUAAAGUUGUUGCAGUUAAAAAGCUCGUAGUUGAAUUUCGGGAUUAGUACGCUGGUCGUGCCUUUGGUAUGUACUGGUGUUACUGAUUCCUACCUUCUGACGAACCGUCAUGUCAUUAAUUUGGUGUGGCGGGAAAUCAGGACUGUUACUUUGAAAAAAUUAGAGUGUUUAAAGCAGGCUCGCGCUUGAGUACAUUAGCAUGGAAUAAUGAAAUAGGACGUUCGAUCCUAUUUUGUUGGUUUCUAGGAUUGACGUAAUGAUUAAUAGGGAUAGUUGGGGGCAUUAGUAUUCAAUUGUCAGAGGUGAAAUUCUUGGAUUUAUUGAAGACUAACUACUGCGAAAGCAUUUGCCAAGGAUGUUUUCAUUAAUCAAGAACGAAAGUUAGGGGAUCGAAGACGAUCAGAUACCGUCGUAGUCUUAACCAUAAACUAUGCCGACUAGGGAUCGGAUGAUGUUAAUUUUUUAAUGACUCAUUCGGCGCCUUACG
RNAcentral lists this ribosomal RNA (500 nucleotides) under uncultured Glomeromycotina. Its description in RNAcentral is "partial small subunit ribosomal RNA". It matches the Rfam family "Eukaryotic small subunit ribosomal RNA", at positions 591 to 1092 of the family's 1831-position model. The record is from RNAcentral. Lineage: Eukaryota; Fungi; Glomeromycota.